GGAAUUUUCCACAAUGGGCGAAAGCCUGAUGGAGCAACGCCGCGUGCAGGAUGAAUGCCUUCGGGUUGUAAAGCUCUUUUACCAGGGAAGAUAAUGACGGUACCUGGAGAAUAAGCCCCGGCUAACUUCGUGCCAGCAGCCGCGGUAAUACGAAGGGGGCUAGCGUUGCUCGGAAUCACUGGGCGUAAAGCGCACGUAGGUGGAUCUUUAAGUCAGGGGUGAAAUCCUGGAGCUCAACUCCAGAACUGCCUUUGAUACUGGAGAUCUUCGAGUCCGGGAGAGGUGGGUGGAACUGCGAGUGUAGAGGUGAAAUUCGUAGAUAUUCGCAAGAACACCAGUGGCGAAGGCGGCUCACUGGCCCGGUACUGACACUGAGGUGCGAAAGCGUGGGGAGC
RNAcentral lists this ribosomal RNA (395 nucleotides) under uncultured bacterium. Its description in RNAcentral is "bacterial SSU rRNA". It matches the Rfam family "Bacterial small subunit ribosomal RNA", at positions 358 to 769 of the family's 1533-position model. The record is from RNAcentral.